UACCCUAGUUAAAGAUUUCUUUUCUUAAUAUAUUAUAUCUUUUUAUUUUCAUAUCUAAAGCAUUGCAAUGAAAAUUUAAGUGAAAAUAUUCAUUAAUUUUGAGAUAAAAUAAUUUUAAAAAAUAAAACUAAAAUUGGAAUAUGAGGAAAAAUAUAAUAAAAAAUUAAAAUUAAUAUGAUAAAUCUAACUUGAAUAAUCCAAAGAAAACAAAAAAAAUAUAAUACUAAUAAAAAUAAAACAAAAUAUCGGGUUAGAGAAAAUAAUACAAUGGUUACAAAGUUGAUAAUAUAUUACGCCGUUUAUAACUAUAAAAAUUAUUAGUUUUCACUUACCAAGCUUAUGAUAUAAC
RNAcentral lists this long non-coding RNA (349 nucleotides) under Gossypium raimondii (Peruvian cotton). RNAcentral's name for it is "long non-coding RNA (GRAI_LNC008127)". Lineage: Eukaryota; Viridiplantae; Streptophyta; Magnoliopsida; Malvales; Malvaceae. The record is from RNAcentral.